GCAGUGCUCCGGUUCUAUCGCUGGUAUUUUAUACGAGAGGAAAGUCCGGGCAGCACAGAGCACUCCACUUGCGAAACUACAAGCUAUUGGUGACAGUAGGUCUAAGGCAGAAGAAAACAACCGCCUCACAAGACUACUUGAUGAGGUAAGGGUGAGAAGGUGGUGUAAGAGACCACCAGCCGGUGGGUGAUCACCGGGCUGUGCCUGCUGGAGGCUGUAAGUUCAAGUAAACCAUCGUCAUGAUAGGGUUGCUCGCCCGAUAGGCAUAGCCUUACGAUGGAGGGUAGAACGCUGAAACCUCAAGGUGACUUGAGGGUUAGAUAAAUGAUGGAACACCUGUUUUAUCGAGAGGCAUAACAGGCUACAGAACCCGGCUUAUAGGAGCACUGCUCUC
This 394-nucleotide RNase P RNA is filed under the name Prevotella sp. RNAcentral's name for it is "RNase P RNA component class A". It matches the Rfam family "Bacterial RNase P class A". From Rfam's summary of the family: Ribonuclease P (RNase P) is a ubiquitous endoribonuclease, found in archaea, bacteria and eukarya as well as chloroplasts and mitochondria. The record is from RNAcentral. Lineage: Bacteria; Pseudomonadati; Bacteroidota; Bacteroidia; Bacteroidales; Prevotellaceae.